CCCCACCCCAGGGAUAAUCAUUCUUAACACCCCUUGUUUUUAAUCUUUUCUCCAGACGCCCUGGAAAUUAUAGGCUUGUGGUCAAAUACGCUUGUCAAAUCCUGCAUAGUAAGUAAGGGCUAUGUGGAGCCCUGCAGCGAAGAACUCUGUCUUCCUGACCUCCCAGACUCAUCGGACUGUGGAGGGCAUUGCUCCUGGGUCAGGCUGCUGAGGAGAGCUCCAGUUCUGUGCAAUCCUUCCUGGGAGGUGCUGGAACACACCUGAAUAAGACAAAAUCCCAGACCCCAGCGGGCCUCAGAGACCUGGCCCUGAGAAGGCCCCUCUUCCCCUGGACUCUUUCUCUGCAGGAUUUCUCACUAAUUGCUGCUUGUGCCCCAUUCCGGUUUAGGAACAGUUUCUCUCCCAGCUGGCUGAGAAUCUGCUGGGACAUUUUAAAUAAAGCCUUCACAGAGGACCCGGGAACAGAGAAAGGAGAUGGACAGGGUGUGCCAUUGCUGGAUUAUACGUUUUUAUAGUUCUUCAAUUCACAGUUACAUCCAGGAUCCAUUUUCAGGUAAUUUUUUAUAUAAAUAAUGUGGUUGAGAUUGAGGUUAAUUUUUGCCCAAUGCUAAUUAUGGUUCAAGCAUCACUUGCUGAAAAGACAUCCUCCCUCCAGUGAGUUGCUUUUGCAACUUUACAAAAAUCAGAUGGAUUGGGGAUAUUUUUAUGGUUCCAUUUCUCUUUCAUUGAUCUGUCCUUGGGCCAACAGCACACUUUCUUGAUUACUACAGAUGCAGAUGCUCCUCAGCUGAUGAUGCAGUUUUCUCCCAAUAUGUCUAAUGUAAGUUAAAAAUACUGUAAGUUGAAAAUGUAUUUAAUACACCUAACCUACCAAGGGUCAGAGCUUAGCCUCGCCUGCCUUAAACACGCUCUGAAGACUUUGUUUGGGCAGCAUCAUCUAACAUAAAGCCUAUUUCAUAAUGAAGUGUGGAAUAUGUUAUGCAAGUUAUUGAAAACUGUACUGAAAGGAAAAGCAGAAUGGUGGCAUGGGUUUUCUCCAUUAGCAUACACAGCUGGAACCUUGCUGGGCCUGGAGAACAUUUGAAGCCUUGAACUAAACUUAAUUGCUGGACGAUGGGUAUGCUGCAGUGCCAGGGUCAUCGACCUCUCUCCUUUCUGAUAUGGCUUGAGAAUCGCUGCUGGAAGGCUCUGGGGCACUGACACUUGUUGAUGGUUUAGCAGAAGUAGUGUUCCUCAGGAAGAUGUCAUGUUUCAGUAUCCAUUGCUUAUCCUCGUGAUCUUGAGGCUGACUGGAGCUGAGGCUCCCUGCUGCUGCCCAGCCCUGCGAUGGUAUCAUAGGGCAUAUCACUAGCAUGGGAAAAGAUAAAAAUUCAAAAUUUGAAGUGCUGUUUCUACUGAAUGCAUAUUGGUUUUGCACUGUUGUAAAGCUGAAAAAUCCGAGGUCAAGCCAUCCUAAGUCAGGGGCCAUCUUCAUAUUGUAGGAUAGAAUAUGAAGAUGGCCAGAUAGAAUGUCAGAUAGAAUGACUCCUCCCACUAUUUUUCAAAAGUGUUUUAACUAUUCUGGUAUUUUUUUCAUUUGCAUAUACAGUUUAUAACAAUCUUUUCUAUAUCGACAAAAUAGCUUGCUGAGAUUUCAUUAGGAAUGACUUGUAUACCAUUUUGAGGAGAACUGACGUCUUUGUUAUAUUGAGUAUUCCAAUUCAGGAACAUGGCAUGCCUCAAUGUGUUUAAAUAUUUU
Molecule: long non-coding RNA, 1738 nt
Organism: Callithrix jacchus (white-tufted-ear marmoset)
Lineage: Eukaryota; Metazoa; Chordata; Mammalia; Primates; Cebidae
Source: Ensembl